This 544-nucleotide ribosomal RNA is filed under the name uncultured bacterium. RNAcentral describes it as "bacterial SSU rRNA". It matches the Rfam family "Bacterial small subunit ribosomal RNA", at positions 777 to 1319 of the family's 1533-position model. The record is from RNAcentral.
AAUAGAUACCCCGGUAGUCCACGCCGUAAACGAUGAGUGCUAAGUGUUGGGGGGUUUCCGCCCCUCAGUGCUGCAGCUAACGCAUUAAGCACUCCGCCUGGGGAGUACGGUCGCAAGACUGAAACUCAAAGGAAUUGACGGGGGCCCGCACAAGCGGUGGAGCAUGUGGUUUAAUUCGAAGCAACGCGAAGAACCUUACCAGGUCUUGACAUCCCGGUGACCACUAUGGAGACAUAGUUUCCCCUUCGGGGGCAACGGUGACAGGUGGUGCAUGGUUGUCGUCAGCUCGUGUCGUGAGAUGUUGGGUUAAGUCCCGCAACGAGCGCAACCCUUAUUCUUAGUUGCCAUCAUUCAGUUGGGCACUCUAAGGAGACUGCCGGUGAUAAACCGGAGGAAGGUGGGGAUGACGUCAAAUCAUCAUGCCCCUUAUGACCUGGGCUACACACGUGCUACAAUGGACGGUACAGACGGUUGCCAACCCGCGAGGGGGAGCUAAUCCGAUAAAACCGUUCUCAGUUCGGAUUGUAGGCUGCAACUCGCCUAC